Molecule: ribosomal RNA, 474 nt
Filed under: uncultured bacterium
Lineage: Bacteria
Description: bacterial SSU rRNA
Rfam family: Bacterial small subunit ribosomal RNA
Source: RNAcentral
AGCGAACGCUAGCGGCGGGCCUAACACAUGCAAGUCGAGCGGAGGGGCAGUCAGUGGCGCACGGGUGCGUAACACGUAGGUAAUCAACCCUCUGGUUGGGGAUAACACUUCGAAAGGAGUGCUAAUACCCGGUAUGGCGCAGCGGUCUUCGGAUCGCGGCGAGAAAGACCCGCAAGGGUUGCCAGAGGACGAGCCUGCGGCCCAUCAGCUAGUUGGCGAGGUAACGGCUCACCAAGGCGAAGACGGGUAGCUGGUCUGAGAGGAUGAUCAGCCACACUGGAACUGAGACACGGUCCAGACUCCUACGGGAGGCAGCAGUGGGGAAUAUUGCGCAAUGGGCGAAAGCCUGACGCAGCCACGCCGCGUGAGCGAUGAAGGCCUUCGGGUCGUAAAGCUCUGUGGGGAGAGAAGAAUAAAGCCUGUGAAGAGCAGGCCUUGACGGUAUCUCCUUAGCAAGCACCGGCUAACUCCGUG